GGAACAGAUGCAGCUUGAGAGUAAUAGAGAGGUUCAGAUUCCAGAGAAGAAGAAGAAGAUCCAGAAAAGGCAGGAAGUUGACAGACAUAGUACUUAAGAUAAGAGGGAGGAUUAUGAUGUCUUCCAGAUUUUCUGGGAGCAGGAAGAGAUGUGAAAGGAGGCAAAGCAAGAGAAGAAAUAUCAGGAUUGAAGGGAUGAAGGGAGGCUGGAUUAGAAGAAGGGGAAGUUGGGGCAGAAGGAGGAGGAGGAGAGGAACAGACAGGUAUAAACAAGUCUGCAUCAGAGGACGAAUGUUCAAGAGGAGGAACAAAAGGAAAGGAAGAGGGAGUAAGAAGAGCAGAAGAUGAUACAGUUUUUAAAGGAAAGUAGGUUUCAUGAAAUAUAACAUCCCUGGAGAAAAAGUAUUUCUUGGAAGUGAGAUCAUAAAGUUUAUAACCUUUUUGGCAAAAGGAUACCCAAUGAAUACACAGGAAAUGGCUCUAGGUUUCAACUUGUCCCUUUAAGGAAUUGGAACAGUAGCAUAGGCAAGGCACCCAAAUGCUCUCAAAUGAGAGUAGGUUGGUGCCUUUCCAUGCAAAACUUCAUAGGGAGAUUUAUGAUGAAGAAGUCUGGAUGGUAUUCUGUUAAGGAGAUAGGUGGCAGUUAGUAAGCAGUCCCCCCCAGAAAGAGAUAGGUCUUUGAACCACAGCAUUAAACUGGGUUUUAACCAUACACAGAAAUGAUUUAAGCAGGUAGAAAGCAUUGCUUUUAGACCCCAGUAAGUGUGUCCAGGUGGCCCUAGAGAAAUCAUCAACUAGCAGAAGGCAUUGCUUUUAGACCCUAGUAAGUGUGUCCAGGUAGCCCUAGAGAAAUCCUCAACUAUUGUAAGAAAAUAUUUAGAACCAGAAGAAGUAGGAGUGUGAUAGGGGACCCAAGUAUCCACAUGAAUCAAUUGGAAAGGUCUAGAAGUACUUAUUGUGCUAUCAGGAAAGGGAAGUCUAGUCUGUUUAGCCAUAGGACAGAUAGAACAAGGGAAAGGCUGCUUAGAAGCAAAUGAAAAAGACAAUCCAGAAAUUUGUUUCAUGUUUGCAAAUAAAGUAUGAGCAAGUCUCAAACGCCAAAUGUAAUUCAUGUCAGUUGUAAGAACAUUAUUACAGAUGGAAUUAUUUACAUUGGAAGGUAAAGCAACAACUUUAUGGCAAUCAGUAGAGGAAGAAUUGUCAUGAUUACAAGAGUCAAACAUAGAGCAUACAAAAGUAGAUGAACAACCAGUAGAGGAAGAAGGGGAAGCUGGAACCCAAGCAAGCUUGUAUAGACCAGCCUCCUUUUUACCAAGAUCCAGAGGCUUCCUCAGAGAAGGGUCCUGUAUCAUGUGGAGGUAGCAGGAAGUUGCAGUGAACAAAUCUAUGCAAUGCAACUGUUUCACUAACUUGUGGACAGAAAUCAAGUUGU
RNAcentral lists this long non-coding RNA (1431 nucleotides) under Nicotiana benthamiana. RNAcentral's name for it is "long non-coding RNA (NBEN_LNC018327)". The record is from RNAcentral. Lineage: Eukaryota; Viridiplantae; Streptophyta; Magnoliopsida; Solanales; Solanaceae.